This 437-nucleotide ribosomal RNA is filed under the name uncultured bacterium. RNAcentral's name for it is "partial 16S ribosomal RNA". It matches the Rfam family "Bacterial small subunit ribosomal RNA", at positions 29 to 507 of the family's 1533-position model. The record is from RNAcentral.
AGCGAACGCUGGCGGCAGGCUUAACACAUGCAAGUCGAGCGGGCAUCCUUGUGGUGUCAGCGGCAGACGGGUGAGUAACGCGUGGGAACGUGCCCUUCGGUUCGGAAUAACUCAGGGAAACUUGAGCUAAUACCGGAUACGUGCGAGAGCAGAAAGGUUUAUCUGCCGAAGGAUCGGCCCGCGUCUGAUUAGCUAGUUGGUGAGGUUAUGGCUCACCAAGGCGACGAUCAGUAGCUGGUCUGAGAGGAUGAUCAGCCACACUGGGACUGAGACACGGCCCAGACUCCUACGGGAGGAAGCAGUGGGGAAUAUUGGACAAUGGGGGCAACCCUGAUCCAGCCAUGCCGCGUGAGUGAUGACGGCCUUAGGGUUGUAAAGCUCUUUUCUUCGGGACGAUAAUGACGGUACCGGAGGAAUAAGCCCCGGCUAACUUCGUG